This 72-nucleotide transfer RNA is filed under the name Camelus bactrianus (Bactrian camel). It matches the Rfam family "tRNA". Rfam says of the family: Transfer RNA (tRNA) molecules are approximately 80 nucleotides in length. Their secondary structure includes four short double-helical elements and three loops (D, anti-codon, and T loops). The record is from Rfam by way of RNAcentral. RNAcentral also lists the same sequence under 2 other names. Lineage: Eukaryota; Metazoa; Chordata; Mammalia; Artiodactyla; Camelidae.
GAGGGUAUACCUCAGUGGUAGAGUGUGUGCUUAGCAUGCACAAGGUCCUGGGUUCAAUCCCUAGGACCUCCA